GUCAGAUAGAAUUUUAGUUCAACUUUAAAUUUACUACAAAAGCAUAUAAUUACACCGUAAAUUUAACUGUUAAUCUAAAGGGGUACAGCCCUUUAGACUAAGGAUACAACCUUAAUUAGAGAGUAAAUAUAUUAAUAACCAUAGUUGGCCUAAAAGCAGCCAUCAAUUAAGAAAGCGUUCAAGCUCAACAAUAAUUAAUUCCUUAAUCCAAUGAUUAUAUAUUAACUCCUAGUUUACUACUGGACUAAUCUAUUAAUCAAUAGAAGAAAUACUGUUAAUAUGAGUAACAAGAUUUAUAUCUCCUAGCACAAGCUUAUGUCAAACCAAAUAAUAACUGAUAGUUAACGGCCAAAUAAAUAUAACUUCACAUAAACUAUUUAUUAACCCACUGUUAAUCCAACACAGGUGUGCAUAAAGGAAAGAUUAAAAGAAAUAAAAGGAACUCGGCAAACACAAACCCCGCCUGUUUACCAAAAACAUCACCUCUAGCAUUACUAGUAUUAGAGGCACUGCCUGCCCAGUGACAACUGUUUAACGGCCGCGGUAUCCUGACCGUGCAAAGGUAGCAUAAUCAUUUGUUCUUUAAAUAAGGACUUGUAUGAAUGGCCACACGAGGGUUUAACUGUCUCUUAUUUCUAAUCAGUGAAAUUGACCUUUCCGUGAAGAGGCGGAAAUAAUCUAAUAAGACGAGAAGACCCUAUGGAGCUUUAAUUGACCUAGUCCAACAGAAUAGUACUUAACUCCACCAAGGACUAACAAACAUUCUAACUGGGCUAUAAAUUUCGGUUGGGGUGACCUCGGAGCACAAAAUAACCUCCGAGAGCUAUCUACUAAGACUGACAAGUCAAAGUAAAUCUUUACAAAUUGAUCCAGUCCCACUGAUCAACGGAACAAGUUACCCUAGGGAUAACAGCGCAAUCCUAUUCUAGAGUCCCUAUCGACAAUAGGGUUUACGACCUCGAUGUUGGAUCAGGACAUCCCAAUGGUGCAGCAGCUAUUAAUGGUUCGUUUGUUCAACGAUUAAAGUCCUACGUGAUCUGAGU
This 1043-nucleotide ribosomal RNA is filed under the name Sorex coronatus (crowned shrew). RNAcentral describes it as "partial 16S ribosomal RNA". It matches the Rfam family "Bacterial large subunit ribosomal RNA", at positions 918 to 2610 of the family's 2925-position model. The record is from RNAcentral. Lineage: Eukaryota; Metazoa; Chordata; Mammalia; Eulipotyphla; Soricidae.